AGAGAGAGACAUGCGCGCAUAUCAAUAAGCGGAGGAAAAGAAACUAACAAGGAUUCCCCUAGUAACGGCGAGUGAAGCGGGAAGAGCUCAAAUUUGAAAUCUUAAAGGGUUUCCCUUUACGAACUGUAGUUUAAAGAAGUGUUUUCUGUUGAGGUUUUGGUAAAAGUUCUUUGGAAUAGGACAUCAUAGAGGGUGAGAAUCCCGUAUUUGACCUUUACUUUCAACUUCGUGAUACACUUUCAAAGAGUCGGAUUGUUUGGGAAUGCAGUCCAAAAUGGGUGGUAAAUUUCAUCUAAAGCUAAAUAUUGGCGAGAGACCGAUAGCGAACAAGUACCGUGAGGGAAAGAUGAAAAGAACUUUGAAAAGAGAGUUAAACAGUACGUGAAAUUGUCAAAAGGGAAGCGUUUGACACCAGUGUUGUUUUUCUGAAAAUCAAUUAAAGAACUGUUUAUGCUAAGCUGUUUAGACUUUAUCAGCUAACUGUUUAGUUUUGAGCUUUUCUUUAAUGCACUUUUCAGUUAACAAGUCAACAUCAAUUUCUUUUGCUGUAAAAAAGCUUGAGGAAGGUGGCUUGAGAUUCGUCUUAAGUGUUUAUAGCCUCUUGCCUAUGCAGUCGGAGAGAUUGAGGUCUGCAGCGUAGAUCCUUCGGGGCUAAAUGCAUUUGUGCUAAGUUAUAGCAUUUUAUAGACAACUUGUUGACUAUGAUUUGUCUUGUAGCUUACUCGCUUAUGUUAUUUUACCUACGCUUAGGAUGUUGACGCAUGAGAUAUACGC
This 774-nucleotide ribosomal RNA is filed under the name uncultured Neocallimastigales. RNAcentral describes it as "partial large subunit ribosomal RNA". It matches the Rfam family "Eukaryotic large subunit ribosomal RNA", at positions 23 to 647 of the family's 3401-position model. The record is from RNAcentral. Lineage: Eukaryota; Fungi; Neocallimastigomycota; Neocallimastigomycetes; Neocallimastigales.